Spodoptera frugiperda (fall armyworm) is the source of this 1074-nucleotide long non-coding RNA. RefSeq lists it as uncharacterized. The record is from RefSeq and is a predicted model, not a curated record. The transcript has 3 exons. Lineage: Eukaryota; Metazoa; Arthropoda; Insecta; Lepidoptera; Noctuidae.
UUUUUUUUGUCUGUUUGUCUGUUUGUCUGUUUGUCUGUUUGUCUGUUUGUCUGUUUGUCUGUUUGUCUUGUUGUCUGUACAUUGAAAAUAAAAAUAAAAAAAAUAGCAGGGGUUAUUGUUAUGUCGAUGUCGAACCCAAAAAUGUAAUUAACUUUUUUUUGUCUGUUUGUCUGUUUGUCUGUUUGUCUGUUUGUCUGUUUGUCUGUUUGUCUGUUUGUCUGUUCGUCUGUGCGCGCUAAUCUCAGAAACGGCUGAUCCGAGUUGGAUGUGGUUUUCACGAAUAUAUUGUGGGAUGCUUAAAUUUACAUUUAGUGUUUGUUUCAUGUCAAUCGGUUCAUAAAUAAAAAAGUUAUGUCAAAUUAAAGAAUCACGUCGAACAUUCUAUGCUUAUACCAUUAAUCUCCGCAACUAUUUGACGGAUUUGGUUGAAAUUUGGUACAGAUAUAGUUUAGAACCUUAGAAAGGACAUAGAUAUAUUUUUAUUUCAAAAAUCAAAAAAUAUAAAUAAGAAAUAAAUUAUUUAUAAAUAAUUCUAUGUCGAUCGUUACACGACUUCGGUUCAUGUUAUUGUUUAAAUUUAUCGAAAAAAAGUAAAUAAAUAGUAAAAAGGUAUGAAAAAAAUAAUAUCAAUAUAAUUAAACUUUUAGUACAAAGAAAAUGCCCGAACGGAGUAUAAAUAAAUAAUCCAAGUUGUCUUUAUCCUCGAUAGAUCGAAAUAGAUCGCGCUAUGGUUUCGUUACAUUCAUUUGGUUGGGUAUCGGCCGAGCGCUUCGGUACUAUCGUAGAAAAAGUGUAUUAUCAGUCGUAUGAUUAUUUGUCUGUAGUGGUCCUGCUGUUUCGUAUAUUCUAAAUUGGUUUCGUUGUAUUUGUCAAUUAAUAAGUUUAUUUGUUGGGUUUUCCUGGUUUUUUGGUUAAACUAUUUAACGUAGGUUUAGUUUGAUAUCGAUUAUUAGUAGUUACUGUAGUUAGUUUUUUAAUAAAAUUGUAAGUCUAAUUUUUUUUUUAUUAGAUUAGAUUUAAGUCGUUUCUUUUAAAUUAUUUAGUUUAAGCUUGGUUAUUAUAGCAUAGAGGAUA